UACGUAGGGGGCAAGCGUUGUCCGGAUUUAUUGGGCUUAAAGCGUACGUAGGCGGCUUUGUAAGUUAGAGGUGAAAGCCCGGGGCUCAACUCCGGAAUUGCCUUUAAGACUGCAUCGCUUGAAUCAUGGAGAGGUGAGUGGAAUUCCGAGUGUAGAGGUGAAAUUCGUAGAUAUUCGGAAGAACACCAGUGGCGAAGGCGACUCACUGGACAUGUAUUGACGCUGAGGUACGAAAGCGUGGGGAGCAAACAGG
This 253-nucleotide ribosomal RNA is filed under the name uncultured bacterium. RNAcentral describes it as "partial 16S ribosomal RNA". It matches the Rfam family "Bacterial small subunit ribosomal RNA", at positions 524 to 776 of the family's 1533-position model. The record is from RNAcentral.